Molecule: ribosomal RNA, 210 nt
Filed under: Stachybotryaceae sp.
Lineage: Eukaryota; Fungi; Ascomycota; Sordariomycetes; Hypocreales; Stachybotryaceae
Description: Stachybotriaceae sp. partial large subunit ribosomal RNA
Source: RNAcentral
AAGCGUUCAUGACCAGACUUGGGCAGGUUGAUCAUCCGUGGUUCUCCGCGGUGCACUCUGCCUGCCCAGGCCAGCAUCAGUUUGCCCCGGGGGAUAAAAGCUUAGGGAAUGUGGCUCCUCCGGGAGUGUUAUAGCCCUCUGCAGAAUACCCUGGGGCGGACUGAGGUUCGCGCAUUCGUGCAAGGAUGCUGGCGUAAUGGUCAUCAGCGA